GCUUAGGUUUAAGAUCAUUGGGAUUAUGACAAUUAAACUAUCAGAAGCUAGGUUUAAGAUCACUUAGGAUUGCGAUAUGAAUGAUGCAAGAACUUAAGGUUUAAGACUACUAAGGACUGUGGCACAAGUGGUUUUAAGUUGGAAGUUUAAGAUCAUUGAGGAUUGUAACAAAAUUGGAAUCAGAACAAAGGUUUAAGAGCAAUAGGGAAUGUGACAGGAAUGUAUGAGAGCUUAAAGUUUAAUCACUAGUGAUUGUGAUAGAAAUGUAGCAAAUUUUUAAGUUAUGAUUAAAUUAGAUUUUGACUAAUAUUAAGUGGAGUACUAGCCAUGGAAUAUUAAAGUACAUUGUGAUUGUUUGUGUAUUAGCAUAUAAGUGAUUUUGGAAGAUCAACUUGAUAUCGAGUACUGUGAAUAAUACUUCUAGAUUGAAGUUAAUUAUUUUGAUGGCAAGAUAGGGUUCAUUCAUAAGUUGUUUAAGGCUUGGACAAGAAAAGAUUUUAUAUUCUUC
RNAcentral lists this long non-coding RNA (508 nucleotides) under Phoenix dactylifera (date palm). RNAcentral describes it as "long non-coding RNA (PDAC_LNC016234)". Lineage: Eukaryota; Viridiplantae; Streptophyta; Magnoliopsida; Arecales; Arecaceae. The record is from RNAcentral.